Molecule: transfer RNA, 87 nt
Filed under: Johnevansia muelleri (SeqCode)
Lineage: Bacteria; Pseudomonadati; Pseudomonadota; Gammaproteobacteria; Johnevansiales (SeqCode); Johnevansiaceae (SeqCode)
Description: Candidatus Johnevansia muelleri tRNA-Ser (GGA) (tRNA-Ser-GGA-1-1)
Rfam family: tRNA
About the family: Transfer RNA (tRNA) molecules are approximately 80 nucleotides in length.
Source: Rfam by way of RNAcentral
GGAGAGAUGCCCGAGUGGUUUAAGGAACACGCCUGGAAAGUGUGUAAGUUUUAAAAAACUUCGGGGGUUCAAAUCCCCCUCUCUCCG